GACGAACGCUGGCGGCGUGCUUAACACAUGCAAGUCGAACGGAAAGGCCCUGCUUUUGUGGGGUGCUCGAGUGGCGAACGGGUGAGUAACACGUGAGUAACCUGCCCUUGACUUUGGGAUAACUUCAGGAAACUGGGGCUAAUACCGGAUAGGAGCUCCUGCUGCAUGGUGGGGGUUGGAAAGUUUCGGCGGUUGGGGAUGGACUCGCGGCUUAUCAGCUUGUUGGUGGGGUAGUGGCUUACCAAGGCUUUGACGGGUAGCCGGCCUGAGAGGGUGACCGGCACCAUGGGGACUGGGAUAGGGCCCAGACUCGUACGGGAGGCAGCGGGGGGGAAUAUGGCACAAGGGGGGGAGGCCUGAGGCAGCAACGCCGGGUGGGGGAGGGCGGCCUUCGGGUGGUAACCCGUUUUCGCCUGUGACGAAGCGGGGGUGACGGUAAUGGGUAAAGAAGCACCGGCUAACUACGU
RNAcentral lists this ribosomal RNA (467 nucleotides) under uncultured bacterium. Its description in RNAcentral is "partial 16S ribosomal RNA". It matches the Rfam family "Bacterial small subunit ribosomal RNA", at positions 28 to 506 of the family's 1533-position model. The record is from RNAcentral.